This 1430-nucleotide long non-coding RNA is filed under the name Brassica napus (rape). RNAcentral's name for it is "long non-coding RNA (BNAP_LNC016227)". Lineage: Eukaryota; Viridiplantae; Streptophyta; Magnoliopsida; Brassicales; Brassicaceae. The record is from RNAcentral.
AUCGUCCUGGUGAGAUGUCGUUGAAAUACAUGGUGACGAGAGAUUUUCCGGUGGUUAUCCGAGACUUCGUGGUGGAUUUAAUAGCCAUUGAUGUCGUUUCUGCCGAAUAGUUUUUUUUUUAUUUAGGAUGGAUUUAGGUUUAGAGAUAGAACUUUAUAUAGGAGGAUUAUCAAGGAGAGGUAGAGAAAUUUUUUUAAAAAUCCCUUUAACAUCGUCAUUGAUUGAGAAAGUAACGAGAAAAAUAGAAGUUGGAGAAAAUGAUGAAGUGGAAAAGUCGGGAGAAAGUCGCGAAAAUCAUUUUAAUAGAUUCAAUGCGAAAAGCCCAUUUUUUCUCAACUGUACUUACGUGACCAUAUAAUAAUCUAUGAUUGGUUAAUUUUUCAUUCUGACGUGUACACCUUUAGAGGGCUUAGUAUCCUCUUUUUAGUAUAGUUUUGAUUCUCUACCAUUUUAUCCAAGAUUUCUGCUUUCUAACAUGAUAUCAACUUUUAAUGCUUUCAUACAUGAUCUAAUCAUUAUUUCAGCUACCCCACCUUUUUUAGAAUAUCCCUUGCGUACUCAGACACCAUAAUAACAGUUUGACACAGCCGACCAAUCGUCUUAUUUUCACCCACAAAUAUACAUUAAAAUUUCCAAUCUUUGCUAAUCCUAUUAAAAACCUUAACAAUAUUUUAAAGAACACGCACCAUAGCUUAAAUAUUACAAUUCUAGUUAAAUAACGCACCACAGAUGAAAACCUACAUAUUUUCAUAAAACUAAAUAUCCACAUCACGCUCUUAACACUUAACAAACCUGGCCUGCUUAGGCUAUGGCUAAUUGUACAUCUUUUUAACAACGGUCCAAUCAUACAUAUCUACAGAAAAAACAACCAAAUAAACUAGCGUCUUCUCACUGGUAAAGCAACAACCCUUCAGACUUCUCACUUUCAAAUACAACAUCAAAUCAAAUAAUUAUUAAACUUAUCAUUUACAUUUUUAACACUAUUAACAAACCUGGCCUACUCAACUUAUGGCCCAGUCGUACUUUAUUUUAACAACGACCCAAUUGUACAUUUCUACAAAAAACCUAACGAACUACACACAUUGCGCAAGCAACAAUCCUUCAAACUCAACAUUUUGAAAUACAACAUCAAAUCAAAUAAUUAUUAAACUUAGCAACUACAUUUUCUAUAGUUUUGGAGAGUUUUGACCCUGCGGUUAAUAUAUUUAUACGCAUAUUCUGUGCAUAGCGUGGAUAUCGCCUCUAAUUUAAAUUAUUAGUCUUUAUUAGAAAAAAUUAAAAGUGUUGUAUAAUAAAAGUGAGGUGGUGUUUAUAUUUAUUAUUGUAUAUAUAUUAAUUAGUAGGUGUGUAAAAGUGACAAGACAAAAAAAAAGAGAGAGAUGAGACAACGAUGGAGAGAGAGAUGUUGAAAGUGAUUCAGAUUCUUGAUU